GAUGAACGCUGGCGGCGUGCCUAAUACAUGCAAGUCGAGCGAACAGACGAGGAGCUUGCUCCUCUGACGUUAGCGGCGGACGGGUGAGUAACACGUGGAUAACCUACCUAUAAGACUGGGAUAACUUCGGGAAACCGGAGCUAAUACCGGAUAAUAUAUUGAACCGCAUGGUUCAAUAGUGAAAGACGGUUUUGCUGUCACUUAUAGAUGGAUCCGCGCCGCAUUAGCUAGUUGGUAAGGUAACGGCUUACCAAGGCGACGAUGCGUAGCCGACCUGAGAGACGGGUAGGCCACACUGGAACUUGGACACGGUCCAGACUCCUACGGUACGCCGCAGUCGGGUACGUUCCGCAAUGGUCGAAAGCCUUACGCAGCAACGCCGCGUCAGUUAUGACGGUCUUCCGAUCGUAAAACUCUGUUAUUAGUGAAGAACAACUUUGUAAGUAACUAUGCACGUCUUGACGGUACCUAAUCAGAAAGCCACGGCUAACUACGUG
Molecule: ribosomal RNA, 497 nt
Filed under: uncultured bacterium
Lineage: Bacteria
Description: partial 16S ribosomal RNA
Rfam family: Bacterial small subunit ribosomal RNA
Source: RNAcentral